GUGAAUCAUCAAAUUUUUGAACGCAAAUUGCACUCUCCGGUUUUCCGGGAGAGUAUGCCUGUUUGAGGGUCAUCCUAAAAAAAAUCGAUAUUGUUGCUUUUAUUUAAUGGUGACUUUCGUCUGAGAUUGGGUUAUCUUAAACCUUUUUUUUUUUUUGGUUUAAGCGAGUAAAAAUUUUUUUUCACGAUUCCAGUAUGGUUUC
This 202-nucleotide unclassified non-coding RNA is filed under the name Glomeraceae sp. RNAcentral's name for it is "partial contains 5.8S ribosomal RNA and internal transcribed spacer 2". The stretch from base 1 to 72 matches the Rfam family "5.8S ribosomal RNA", at positions 84 to 154 of the family's 154-position model. Lineage: Eukaryota; Fungi; Glomeromycota; Glomeromycetes; Glomerales; Glomeraceae. The record is from RNAcentral.